GACGAACGCUGGCGGCGUGCUUAACACAUGCAAGUCGAACGGAAAGGCCCUGCUUUUGUGGGGUGCUCGUGUGGCGAACGGGUGAGUAACACGUGAGUAACCUGCCCUUGUCUUUGGGAUAACUUCAGGAAACUGGGGCUAAUACCGGAUCGGAGCUCCUGCUGCCUGGUUGGGGUUGGUAAGUUUAGUCGGUUGGGGAUGGACUCGCGGCUUAUCAGCUUUUUGGUGGGGUAGUGGCUUACCAAGGCUUUGACGGGUAGCCGGCCUGAGAGGGUGACCGGCAAGAUUGGGACUGAGAGAAGGACCAGACUGCAACGGGAGGCAGCAGUGGGGAAUAUUGAACAAGGGGAGGAAGCGUGAUGGAGCAACGCGGCGUGCGGGAUGAAGGCAUUCGGGGUGUAAACAGCUUUGGCCUGUGACGAAGCGGGAGUGACGGUAAUGGGUAAAGAAGCACCGGCUAACUACGUG
This 468-nucleotide ribosomal RNA is filed under the name uncultured bacterium. RNAcentral's name for it is "partial 16S ribosomal RNA". It matches the Rfam family "Bacterial small subunit ribosomal RNA", at positions 28 to 507 of the family's 1533-position model. The record is from RNAcentral.